CUUGCCAGGUCCUAGAUAACAGCAAUAGCACUUUUGAGUGAUAUUGCUGUUAUCUAGGACCUGGCAAG
This is a non-coding RNA of Paramuricea clavata, 68 nucleotides long. NCBI's taxonomy places the organism in Eukaryota, Metazoa, Cnidaria, Anthozoa, Malacalcyonacea, Plexauridae. The record is from the annotation of a GenBank genome assembly.